GACGAACGCUGGCGGCGUGGAUUAGGCAUGCAAGUCGAACGGUAUCAUCCUUUCGGGGGUGAGAGAGUGGCGAACUGGUGAGUAACACGUAGGUUAUCUACCCUCAAGACGGGGACAACCCAGGGAAACUUGGGCUAAUACCGGAUGUGAGCAACUUUUAGUUGUUUGAAAGGUGGCGUAAGCUGUCGCUUGGGGAUGAGCCUGCGUCCUAUUAGUUAGUUGGUGAGGUAACGGCUCACCUAGGUAAUGAUAGGUAGGCGGCCUUAACGGGUGUCGCCCACACUGGGAUUGAGAUACGGCCCAGACUCCUACGGGAGGCAGCAGUCGAGAAUAGUCUACAAUGGUCGGAAGACUGAUAGUGCGACGCCGCGUGAACGAUGAAUCCCUUCGGGGUGUAAAGUUCUUUUAUAUGUGAGCAGUGCUUCUUAUAUUAACAGUAUGGGGAGAGAGAUAUUAGCAUAUGAAUAAGCAACGGCUAACUCCGUGCCAGCAGCCCGCGGU
This 501-nucleotide ribosomal RNA is filed under the name uncultured bacterium. RNAcentral's name for it is "bacterial SSU rRNA". It matches the Rfam family "Bacterial small subunit ribosomal RNA", at positions 28 to 521 of the family's 1533-position model. The record is from RNAcentral.